Molecule: long non-coding RNA, 95 nt
Organism: Thalassophryne amazonica
Lineage: Eukaryota; Metazoa; Chordata; Actinopteri; Batrachoidiformes; Batrachoididae
Exons: 3
Source: RefSeq, a predicted model, not a curated record
UAAAAAUAAGUCCCUUCUUGGCUGCUACCUUGUUUUUCCACUCGGUGUUACCACAGCACAUCCAAGGUGGAUCUGCAUGUUGAUUUGGCACAAGU